Molecule: ribosomal RNA, 1038 nt
Filed under: Linckia laevigata
Lineage: Eukaryota; Metazoa; Echinodermata; Asteroidea; Valvatida; Ophidiasteridae
Description: partial large subunit ribosomal RNA
Rfam family: Bacterial large subunit ribosomal RNA
Source: RNAcentral
UUUUAAAAAAAAAGUCUUAAUUCCCGAAACUAAGUGAGCUAAUAUUUUCUACUUAAAGAGAUAUAGUUUUUACUGUUGCAAUAGUAAGUACUUGAGGAAAUAUUAGGUGUAAAAUGCUAAUCGCACUUAGUUAUAGCUGGUUUUUCGAGAAAUUGGUCUUAGCCAAGGGUGAAGUCAUUAUUUCAUAAUCAAAUUUUUAAGGAUAACAAAAAAUAUUUAGAUAAUACUCAACUCCUUAGACAAAGAAGGACAAGCUUUUUUGUCAAGUAGGAAAAAACCUUUUUUAUUAAUUUAGGCUAAUAAAAGAAACGAAUGUGGUACUUUGAAACUUAUAAGUAGGAUUAAUAGCAUCCAUCUUUUUAGAAAGCGUUAAAGCUCUUUCGAUAAAAACACCCACAGAAUAAUCUUAUUAUUAUAAAGCCGAAAUUAUAAAACUCCUUAUCGGAAAAUUUCGCAUUUUAAAGAUAUCGAAAGAUAAGAUGCUUUAAUUAGUAAUGAUACUUGAUUUGCUGAGAAUUAAUCUUUAUAAUUAUAAUCCUAACUUUGGAUGGAAAAAUAAGGUGAAUACAAACGAGAAAAAAAAUUUAUUAAUUGUCUUCCAACUCAGGAAAUCAGAAAGGUAUAAAAUCAAAAGGAAGGAACUCGGCAAAUUUAGAUUUCGCCUGUUUACCAAAAACAUCGCUCUUUGGAAAACUCCUUGAUGUAUAAAGAGUUCUGCCUGCCCAGUGACAUUAGUUAAACGGCCGCGGUAUCUUGACCGUGCGAAGGUAGCAUAAUCAUUUGCCCUUUAAAUGGGGGCUGGUAUGAACGGCAAGACGGAAAUCUAGCUGUCUCCCUUUUAAUAUCUUGAAAUUAAUAUAUUUGUGAAGAAGCAAAUAUAAAGUCGUGGGACGAGAAGACCCUAUCGAGUUUUAGUAUAUAAUCCUAAACUAAAAAGUACUGGUCUUAAGCUGAUUUUUAACAAUAAAAGUAAAUUCACUCUAACUUAGUACGUGGUUUUUUUAGUAUAACUACUUUAAUUGGGGGCAAUUACGGAGA